AACAGUACCCUACUGUGUCAACUCUCAAAACCAAACAAAAGGACACCCGUAGCUGCCACUAAUGGUGUUGAUCCCCUCCAAAGAAUAAAGAGUUGAGGUCCCUCCAGCUCAUGAACCCUAGAACCCUCCUUUUUCUCCUAUAAAACAACACCAAAACCCUACCUAGAAGAGAUGACUUAGACAAGAAACCCUAUCUUUCAAGCCCUAGCAGCCACCAUCUCUGCAACCAUAAAACCACCAUAGGAGAGAGCAGAACAAAAGGAAAAGGAAGCAACAAGAAGAAAAAGAAACUACAAUAAGAGAGAGCUGAGAGAGGGAAUACAAUAGAGAGAGAAGAAAACAAAAGGGAGAAGAAGGCAGAAGCAAGAAGGAGAAGCCUAGUGACAUAUGGUACUGCAAGUAUAACACUAAGCUGUCAUUUUAGUUUUCCUUGUUUUCAACCUGGCUAAAUCUUUUUUGGUUCUUCUUUCUGUUUUUGUUCCUUUUAUGAUAUAUUUUCUUAUCACAUAUGGUAAGUCUAUGAGUGCUUGAUGUUUAUCUUAA
Long non-coding RNA from Populus trichocarpa (black cottonwood), 543 nucleotides. RefSeq lists it as uncharacterized. The transcript is spliced from 2 exons. Lineage: Eukaryota; Viridiplantae; Streptophyta; Magnoliopsida; Malpighiales; Salicaceae. The record is from RefSeq and is a predicted model, not a curated record.